AGUGAACGCUGGCGGUAGGCCUAACACAUGCAAGUCGAGCGGCAGCACAGUAAGAGCUUGCUCUUACGGGUGGCGAGUGGCGGACGGGUGAGGAAUACAUCGGAAUCUACUUUUUCGUGGGGGAUAACAUAGGGAAACUUACGCUAAUACCGCAUACGACCUACGGGUGAAAGCAGGGGAUCUUCGGACCUUGCGCGAUUGAAUGAGCCGAUGUCGGAUUAGCUAGUUGGCGGGGUAAAGGCCCACCAAGGCGACGAUCCGUAGCUGGUCUGAGAGGAUGAUCAGCCACACUGGAACUGAGACACGGUCCAGACUCCUACGGGAGGCAGCAGUGGGGAAUAUUGGACAAUGGGCGCAAGCCUGAUCCAGCCAUACCGCGUGGGUGAAGAAGGCCUUCGGGUUGUAAAGCCCUUUUGUUGGGAAAGAAAAGCAGCAGGUUAAUACCCCGCUGUCCUGACGGUACCCAAAGAAUAAGCCCCGGCUAACUUCGUG
RNAcentral lists this ribosomal RNA (492 nucleotides) under uncultured bacterium. RNAcentral's name for it is "partial 16S ribosomal RNA". It matches the Rfam family "Bacterial small subunit ribosomal RNA", at positions 29 to 507 of the family's 1533-position model. The record is from RNAcentral.